Long non-coding RNA from Mustela lutreola (European mink), 1747 nucleotides. RefSeq lists it as uncharacterized. NCBI's taxonomy places the organism in Eukaryota, Metazoa, Chordata, Mammalia, Carnivora, Mustelidae. The transcript has 4 exons. The record is from RefSeq and is a predicted model, not a curated record.
AUGGUCUUCCUCUUGUAUCUUCAGCUGCCUGCCCCUCUCUUUAGCUCCUAUAAAUCUCCCAUUGCCUCACUCUCUUUGGAAUUCCCAUGUCCAUGUGAAUUCUCUGUUUAAAUACUAUUACAUUUGAUUUUCUCCUGUUAAUCGGUCUGCUUUCGAUUUGAUUCUAAGCCCAGCUAGAAGAAUCUUGAAGGGUAGAGGAAAUUCUUCCUUCCCUGACACAGCAUUGUCCUGGUCUCAGAAUAAACGCCGUUCUCAUGGGAGGUGCAAAAUCAAGAUGUCCAGCAGAUGGCGCAAAACCUCAACCCAGAAAGAAAACAUCCUUAAACCACUUCAAGAAUGCGGUCCUGGAGGGCACGUUUCUCAGUGACCAAAGACCAGUCAAGACCGGCUCCAGAAUUUUCAUGUCCAUUAAAUAUAAUUUGUUGGACUGCUUCUACACCCACAGGAUAGGAUAACCUGGUGUGGACAUAUUAUGUUUUCCUGAUCUAUUCACCUCUCGCUGAGUGUUUGGGUGGUUUCCAGUUUUUGGCUGAUGUGAUUAAUGCUGCCAUGAACAUUUACGUAACAAGUCUUGGUGUGGAUAUGGGUUUUAGUUCCUCUUGAGUAAACACCCAAAGAUGGAAUUGUUAGGUCCUACGUGUGAUCCCCUCUUCUUUCCGGAACUACUCCUCCCCUGAAUCCCAUGGCUAUGGGUUCCAAAUGGAGGCACACAACCCAGGCUGAGCCACUGGAGUAUUUCAUUCCACACCCCCAACCCCUACGGUGACUGGUGCAUGUGGACCCGAGGAGGACCAACUAGAGUCAUUCUGUGAGGCUGGAACUUGAAGCUGGGGCGUGGGGUGGCGGACAGGGACUCCUCUUCCUGCAAGUAAGAGGGCUAAGGGUGACAGAAACCUGGAGCUACGUUUACCUCCUGUGGAGAAAGGCCACCUAAGUAAGAAGAGAUUCAGGCCGGGAGGGAGCAGAGCCCAAAAAUGACAAUUAGGGGUGGCUGGCUGGUUCAGGCAGUAGAGUGUGUGACUCUUGAUCUCAGGUUUGUGAGUUCAAGCCCUACACUGGGUGGAGAGAUUACUUUAAAAGUAAAAUCUUCAAAAAAGAAAAAGAAAUAGCCAGGUCUCUUCUAGGGUCUAGAAUACAGGUCUGACUCAAUUGUGAUCUCCCUCCUCAGGGAGCUCCUUAGAAGUCUCAGGGAGCAGACCUAUUUAUACCCUAAUUAGAGUAUAAGGUGGUUAGUGCUAUGAUACAGGUACUCAUAAGAUAACUGAAGAGGGGUGGUUGGGUUUUGGACACUGGGGAUGAAAGACCCCCUCUCCCCUUGCUAAAGGCUUGUUUAAGUAACCUGAACCUGAUGUCCCCACAGCACCCCCUAUCCCCUUGCUGAAGGCUUGAUUGUCCCCAUAGCCGGAUGGCAACACAUACCAGGAUGUCUAUUGUCUGUGAUCACCCGGUCUGUCAAAAGAAAAGACAAAUGAGGAAUAGAGUGUACCUGGGACUUUCCAGAGUGCUGAGCCAAGGCCCGCCAGAACAAACGGCUGUGUCCUUGCCUUAAACCCAGUGCCUGACAAUGCUUGAUUUAAGUUAACCAAUCAGAUCCCUGUAACCAAGCAUCUGCUUCUGUAAGCUCACUUCCCGCCACCCCAACCCUGCCCUAUAUAAUCUGCUCCCCAACUUAGCCCAGCGCGCUCAGCCCACAAAGGCUGAUGCGUCCACAGGCGCCUGUGUAACCAAUAAACCUCUUGCAACUUGC